GCAUUGGACAAGGCUAAACCAAAUACUAGUAGCAUGUGUUGUUAUCUCUGUUUAGAGUGUCAGUCACUAUAAAGCACCUAAAAAGCAUUGAGAAGAAGGCCCAGACUACUCUAGCUGAGCUGAAACCCAGGAUCAUAAGGAUUUUGGACAAGAAUGAGGAUCAUCAUCAAUCAACGUAUGGAGUCUAAUUUGAAAUACAGGUUUGUUAUGUUCCUGUUCCAAUUCACAGAGAAUCGUGAGUUCUGUGCUCAUAGAGGUGUAACCCAGCACCAGCUGCCACAGAUGCAGAACCAGAGGCAUUCAAGUCUGUAUCUUGCCCAGCAUUGUGAUCGUUAGCAGCAAAAUUGAGCGGUGUCUAAGCCCAGUGAGCGCUGUUUCGGUUUUCCUGCCUUAUUCUUUAUCUCGCUUAGAAAACCACUGAGAGCAGAGAGAAUGACUGCCCUUUAUCAAAUAAUGAUAGCUGAUGAAGAGGUAUAAGCUGUACGCUGCUGAAGGGUGAUUUAACCAGCAGUGCUAUCUGGUUGCAUCACGUUAGUACUGUACGUGCACCGUGGCUUUAGCAUCUCCCUUGAAUUCCAACAUUUUUCAAUGACCGUGAAGCGCCAUUCGUGUGCAUCACGACCUGAGUGACUUCAGCACCUCCCUCCUUCCUGAACUCUAAAACUCACACCUGCCUGGUCCUUACUUCUGUUUGUCCACUUAAUUCUUUCCCUGCUCAAAAGAUAAACGAGGCUCUCCAAAUGCUGGAGUUUAGAAAAUCUUCUGUCGCUGAUGGUUUCUUAAGAAGGAAUUCUGAAGGGGAGAAUGAUGCUUUCUUGUCCGGGAGGGUUUGCGCGGACAGGUGUAUGAGGAUCGACACAAAGACAGCCCACAAACCGGCAGCUUAACAUGUGUGUCCUUGCGUUGUAUUUGCAUUAUCUGCACACAGGGCGUAUCUUACAAUCAAUUGUUUUUUUCUGUGUUUAAAAUCUCACUUGCUUUCCACUGGUUUAUUUGUGAGGGCACGGUUUCUGUGGGGUUUUUUAAUGGCUUUCUGCUUUUAAAUAUUCCGCCUGUUUGGAUUGCUCAGAUGCAUGAGGUGACAGGAAGAGCCGUUAAUGUUUAAACCUUUGCCAUUUUCACCUCCUCUUCGUUCCUUUGUGAUGUAAGAAGUGGCACUCGAUUUUAAAAUGGGCACAAAUUAAGCAGCAUCUAAGGAUUUACUACCUUAAUUACAAUAAUCCCUAAAGGAUUAUUCAGAGAUAGGUCCUAACUAAAGUUUUAAACUUAGCCAUGCAUUUUAAAUCAGGAGCAGACUGAUUUCUGGUCCGGCAGCAGAAGGCGAUGCUCAGGUUUGGGAAUUCUUUGGAUAAACCUCGAGGUCGAGAAAACAGUCUGCUUCCGAAAACACAACCACCGAUACACUGUUUUUAUUGGUAAACUGCUUGCCCAGAGGUGUCGUAGUAUUUCAUGACUUCUCAAUAAUUCAGUGUCUAAGUGCUGUGGAAAAGACUCAGAUAAGCAAAGAGAAAAAGUGAGGGAGGGGGGGAGAGGCUGCCUGCCAAGGCCAGGACAGUGAGAUUUCCAGGCAGGUUUUUUUACACCAUCCCACAGCCUUGGAUGUAAGAAGCAGGUAAAGUUCUGCGGUUAUUUUCAGUUGAGGAGAUUCCUACCAUCCAGGUGUUUCAGCCACUGAUUUUAGUGAAGGAUCUAUUAAAAUAAAAGAUUGUCCAAACUUUAUGAACUGCA
This is a long non-coding RNA of Numida meleagris (helmeted guineafowl), 1728 nucleotides long. The record is from Ensembl. NCBI's taxonomy places the organism in Eukaryota, Metazoa, Chordata, Aves, Galliformes, Numididae.